UUUGUAGGGUAAUAUGUUGCCCCCAGAUACGAACUGUACAGGUAAAGAUUUUGGGAUGCAUGAUGCGACUUUUUAUUUUGACCUUUUGAGAAGACCAGCCCAGAUUUUUAGGGUUGACUCUGCUUUCCUUUUAAUCUUUAAACGGUUUAUGACAAUUCGACUGCUCUUUUGGGGGAUCAAUCUUUCUGAAAAACGAAGUCACAUAUGAAAAUGAUGCUUAAUUGAAAUUUUGGUUACUUAAGUUUUCCUACUUAGUGAUGAAAAAAAAAAAAAAAAAAAAAAAAAAGACUCCACGCAUAAUCAAAUCGUUAUUAUUAUUGCAAUAUUGA
Molecule: long non-coding RNA, 329 nt
Filed under: Helianthus annuus (common sunflower)
Lineage: Eukaryota; Viridiplantae; Streptophyta; Magnoliopsida; Asterales; Asteraceae
Description: hypothetical non coding rna
Source: RNAcentral